This 230-nucleotide long non-coding RNA is filed under the name Elaeis guineensis (African oil palm). RNAcentral describes it as "long non-coding RNA (EGUI_LNC015259)". The record is from RNAcentral. Lineage: Eukaryota; Viridiplantae; Streptophyta; Magnoliopsida; Arecales; Arecaceae.
GACCAGAUGUGCAAUGAGUUGCUGAACAUCGAGGUGAAGAUGGAGGAGAAAGAUAAGUCGUUGCUACUGCUAUGCUCACUACCCCCUUCCUAUGAUCUAUUGGUGACGACGCUGCUCUACAGCAAAGAGAUCUUGGAGUAUGAAGACAUGGUCUCAGUGUUGCAAUCCAAUGAACAGUGAGAGAAGUUGACCAAGGAAGGUGCUCCCCAGGAGGGAUUAGCCAUGGGGGA